RNAcentral lists this ribosomal RNA (497 nucleotides) under uncultured bacterium. RNAcentral's name for it is "partial 16S ribosomal RNA". It matches the Rfam family "Bacterial small subunit ribosomal RNA", at positions 28 to 507 of the family's 1533-position model. The record is from RNAcentral.
GACGAACGCUGGCGGCGUGCCUAAUACAUGCAAGUAGAACGCUGAAGAGAGGAGCUUGCUCUUCUUGGCUGAGUUGCGAACGGGUGAGUAACGCGUAGGUAACCUGCCUUGUAGCGGGGGAUAACUAUUGGAAACGAUAGCUAAUACUGCAUAACAAUGGAUGACACAUGUCAUUUAUUUGAAAGGGGCAAUUGCUCCACUACAAGAUGGACCUGCGUUGUAUUAGCUAGUAGGUGAGGUAAUGGCUCACCUAGGCGACGAUACAUAGCCGACCUGAGAGGGUGGUCGGCCGCACUGGGACUGAGACACGGCCCAGACUCCUACGGGAGGCAGCAGUAGGGAAUCUUCGGCAAUGGGGGCAACCCUGACCGAGCAACGCCGCGUGAGUGAAGAAGGUUUUCGGAUCGUAAAGCUCGGUUGUAAGUCAAGAACGGGUGUGAGAGUGGAAAGUUCACACUGUGACGGUAGCUUACCAGAAAGGGACGGCUAACUACGUG